GGAGAGAUGGUUGAGUUGGUCGAAGGCGCUCGACUCGAAAUCGAGUAGGGUCCGAAAGGGCUCUCGUGGGUUCGAAUCCCACUCUCUCCGCCA
This 93-nucleotide transfer RNA is filed under the name Desulfosporosinus metallidurans. RNAcentral's name for it is "Desulfosporosinus sp. OL tRNA-Ser". It matches the Rfam family "tRNA". From Rfam's summary of the family: Transfer RNA (tRNA) molecules are approximately 80 nucleotides in length. Their secondary structure includes four short double-helical elements and three loops (D, anti-codon, and T loops). Further hydrogen bonds mediate the characteristic L-shaped molecular structure. tRNAs have two regions of fundamental functional importance: the anti-codon, which is responsible for specific mRNA codon recognition, and the 3' end, to which the tRNAs corresponding amino acid is attached (by aminoacyl-tRNA synthetases). tRNAs cope with the degeneracy of the genetic code in two manners: having more than one tRNA (with a specific anti-codon) for a particular amino acid; and 'wobble' base-pairing, i.e. permitting non-standard base-pairing at the 3rd anti-codon position. The record is from RNAcentral. Lineage: Bacteria; Bacillati; Bacillota; Clostridia; Eubacteriales; Desulfitobacteriaceae.